GUAGGUGAACCUGCGGAAGGAUCAUCAACAAAUCAUAUAUUGUGUGUGUGUGUGUUGUUGUGUGUGUGUAAUAGAGGGAAUUUAUUUUUAUAUAUAUAUAAAAAAGGUUCUCUUUUGCAACACAUCAACUUCACGCACACACGCAUAUAAACCAAUGUGAAUUGUGUGUGUGUGUGUAUGUGUGUGUAUAUAUAUAUAUGUAUACACACAUACACAUGUACAUAUAAAAUAUUAUUUUACUAUUGCUUGUAUGUGUAUAGUAGUUUUCUUCUAUAUAUAUAAAAACAAAAGUAUUAUAUUAUAUAUAAACUAAAGUCUAUUAGAGUCAGUAUAACAAAGAAAAUUAAUUUUAUACAACUUUUAACAAUGGAUCUCUUGGCUCUU
This 384-nucleotide unclassified non-coding RNA is filed under the name rhizosphere metagenome. RNAcentral's name for it is "partial ribosomal RNA internal transcribed spacer region". The record is from RNAcentral.